GAUGAACGCUGGCGGCGUGCCUAAUACAUGCCAGUCGAGCGAACGGACGAGAAGCUUGCUUCUCUGAUGUUAGCGGCGGACGGGUGAGUAACACGUGGAUAACCUACCUAUAAGACUGGGAUAACUUCGGGAAACCGUAGCUAAUACCGGAUAAUAUUUUGAACCGCAUGGUUCAAAAGUGAAAGACGGUCUUGCUGUCACUUAUAGAUGGAUCCGAGCUGCAUUAGCUAGUUGGUAAGGUAACGGCUUACCAAGGCAACGAGGCAUAGCCGACCUGAGAGGGGGAUAGGCCACACUGGAGCUGAGACACGGUCCAGACUCCUACGGGAGGCAGCAGUAGGGAAUCUUCCGCAGUGGGGGGAAGCCUGACGGAGCAACGCCGCGUGAGUGAUGAAGGUCUUCGGAUCGUAAAACUCUGUUAUUAGGGAAGAACAUAUGUGGAAGUAACUGUGCACAUCUUGACGGUACCUAAUCAGAAAGCCACGGCUAACUACGUG
This 497-nucleotide ribosomal RNA is filed under the name uncultured bacterium. RNAcentral's name for it is "partial 16S ribosomal RNA". It matches the Rfam family "Bacterial small subunit ribosomal RNA", at positions 28 to 507 of the family's 1533-position model. The record is from RNAcentral.